RNAcentral lists this unclassified non-coding RNA (253 nucleotides) under uncultured bacterium. RNAcentral's name for it is "contains 16S-23S intergenic spacer region". It matches the Rfam family "Bacterial small subunit ribosomal RNA", at positions 524 to 776 of the family's 1533-position model. The record is from RNAcentral.
UACGGGGGGAGCGAGCGUUGUUCGGAUUUAUUGGGCGUAAAGGGCGUACAGGCGGUGGUGUAAGUCAGGUGUGAAAUACCUCGGCUCAACCGAGGGUCUGCAUUUGAUACUGCAUUACUUGAGUACAGGAGAGGAGAGCGGAAUUCCAGGUGUAGCGGUGGAAUGUGUAGAUAUCUGGAAGAACACCAGUGGCGAAGGCGGCUCUCUGGCCUGAUACUGACGCUGACGCGCGAAAGCUAGGGGAGCAAACAGG